RNAcentral lists this long non-coding RNA (644 nucleotides) under Physcomitrium patens. Its description in RNAcentral is "long non-coding RNA (PPAT_LNC007424)". Lineage: Eukaryota; Viridiplantae; Streptophyta; Bryopsida; Funariales; Funariaceae. The record is from RNAcentral.
AUUACUAUAGAAUUUGUAUAACUUUAAUUUCUUUUUGAUAGUGGCUUUUAAGAUUGGUUUUGGUUGAUAGUAACUUCUAAAUAUUUAGAGUCCCCUUUUUUAGACAUUGGUGAUCUUUAGAAACUUAUUUUGGUUCAUUUAUUUGGUGUUUAGAGCAUAAAUUAUAUAAAUCUUAUAAGAAAAAGGAUUGAAGAAGGGUUUUGGUAGCAAAGGGAGUAAUUAAGGCACCAAUAUAGAUGAAUGGAGAUGGAUGAUGAAAAUCUCCAUUCCUAUUGAUCAAAAAUCAUGACCAAUGGGCUUUGAGGAGGCUGCCCGAGGCCAUAUUAGAGAUUAGGGUUAGUUUUUGAGGGCAUUCGAGCUUUGAAGGUUAAGAUCAAAAAGUUUAGAUUUUUGGCUAUGGUUUUGGUACAAAUCUUGUAUGAUUUGAAGUUUAUAUGAAGGAGAUAUAGGCGCUCAAAGUUAAGGUAUUGAUUUGGGAGCUACUGUCAUUCUUUUUGACACAACGCACGCGUACGGAUGGCAAUUGAGGAUUGGCAACUACGAUUGGAUAGAACACUUGUGCAGAUACACUUUUUACAUAUUACUUACUGGAUUCCAAGUUGAAAUAAAGGUGUUAUUGAAUUUUGAAGUCAGCACAUGCAAUC